GCUGCCCCGAGCAGAGCAGACGGGGCCAGCUGCCUUUGCACGUCGCAGCUGAAUGCCCGUCUGUUUUGCUGUCACAAAGGAUCGCUUUGUGAGCUGGGCUGUUGGUGGAGGAGCAGGAUGUAACCCACCUUCUGCAGCAGCCGCUCAGUUCGUCUCUAUCAGAGCAGUGUGAGCAGAUGGGUUCCUCCCUGCUGGGAAAGCAGCGCUCUGCCUUCUGCAGGGUGCUGUGGGUGUUGGGGUGCUGCUGUGCCGUGCCAGGAGGGGGGUCUGUAGGGGGAAAUCUCUUCCCAUGUCUGCGACCAACGAGGCCUCGUGUCAGCGAUGUGUCUCAGCUCUGCACACACAAAGGUCCUGCAGCCUGCCGACUGCCGCCCUUUUAUCUGGCCCUCGUUUAAAGCUGUGCGGCGACUCCAGUGAGCUCCUUUCUGUCUGAGCAUUCCUUUUGCCCUGGGCAGAGCACAAAGCCCCACAGCCACAGCUCAGAGCAGCGCUGCUGAGUGCCAGCCUGAAAGAUGAGGGAGGGCACCCAAACCUUCAGCCUGAUCAGCAAAGCGGCGUGUUGUUAAUCAGCUCCGGCGCUAAUUGAGGGCCCUGUGGUCGCUGAGCUGCUGCCAGGAAUGUAGGGUGCCCUAGCAGCCAAAGAGCCUCGCUGAGCUAAGAGCCACCCUGAGCCCUUUGUCUCACACGCAGAGCGCGGAUCAGCAGCUGCGCUUCAUCUGUCAUCCAUAUUUGGUAGCAAACUUGCUCACAUCUCAACAGCUCUUUGCAGGAGCUGCUGAAGAGUCGGGGUGAUGACAUCAGCUGUGAGCUGAAGGUUGGUGGGCUCGGAGCUGGGAUGUGGUCAGCAUGCAGGGUCAGCACAUGGGGUCGUCCAUACACAGGUUUGGGAGAGGGGAACCCGUGCUGUGCACUGCAUGCAGCGUUCAGCUUUCAGAGCAAAUGUGCUUCGUGCUGCAGACAUUCUUGCUCUGCGUUAGCAUCUCUUUUCAGCCCUCUUGCCUUGCACUGGAAGGGAAGCUCGGCACACUCCUGUUAUCACCGAGCCGAGGUGGCCACAAAUCCUCCUGCUGAAAACCAGAGGGAAAAUCUGCUUGUGAGGACUUUGCAGCGCAGCUGCAGAGAAGAGAAGCAGCUCCAAACCCAGCAGAACAGCUGCAGAGCUGUCCUGCCGCGGGCAACAUGGGGAGAUGUGUGGCCAGGAGAUAGGAGAGCUGAAAAGCCAUUGCCUCCCUCUGCUCCUGCAAGCUGCUGCUCACGUGGCACCCUGUGCUCCUGGGGAGUCAGGAGGACGUUCUUCCUUGUGUGCACCCUAAAAACGAGGUCUGCCUCAUUAGAUUAUCGCCGACAAAUCACAGCCAGAUGGUCCACCAUCAGCUCCUGCAGCUGAAGGAGCCAAGGGACUGCAGGAGGACGCGUGGCUCCGGGAAGGACCUCGGGUGGGCUGGGAACCCAACGCCGUUUCCAUGCCCUCCUGAGCCCAAAGGCCUCAAAGGACUCAGCGUUCACUGCUUGUGCUUCCACAUUAUUUCUGAUGCGCUCGGUGCUGCGGCGCACAGACAGCGGCCCCAAAAAGCUCCAAUGAGCCGCGCCUCUGUUGUGGCUGGGAACAAAGCUGCGCCCUUCCAGAGGACCCCAAAGAUGGGAGCGUUCUGCAGCCCCGUUGUGCCUUCAGCCUCCAGGCUGGGGGGCGAAGAGCCGGCGUGGCCCGGCGGCGCAUCUCCUGCGCCGGCCGUCGG
This is a long non-coding RNA of Lagopus leucura (white-tailed ptarmigan), 1736 nucleotides long. RefSeq lists it as uncharacterized. NCBI's taxonomy places the organism in Eukaryota, Metazoa, Chordata, Aves, Galliformes, Phasianidae. The transcript is spliced from 3 exons. The record is from RefSeq and is a predicted model, not a curated record.